This 429-nucleotide ribosomal RNA is filed under the name Gemmatimonadota bacterium. RNAcentral describes it as "Gemmatimonadetes bacterium partial 16S ribosomal RNA". It matches the Rfam family "Bacterial small subunit ribosomal RNA", at positions 355 to 776 of the family's 1533-position model. Lineage: Bacteria; Pseudomonadati; Gemmatimonadota. The record is from RNAcentral.
UAGGGAAUCUUCGGCAAUGGACGAAAGUCUGACCGAGCAACGCCGCGUGAGUGAAGAAGGUUUUCGGAUCGUAAAACUCUGUUGUUAGAGAAGAACAAGGACGUUAGUAACUGAACGUCCCCUGACGGUAUCUAACCAGAAAGCCACGGCUAACUACGUGCCAGCAGCCGCGGUAAUACGUAGGUGGCAAGCGUUGUCCGGAUUUAUUGGGCGUAAAGCGAGCGCAGGCGGUUUCUUAAGUCUGAUGUGAAAGCCCCCGGCUCAACCGGGGAGGGUCAUUGGAAACUGGGAGACUUGAGUGCAGAAGAGGAGAGUGGAAUUCCAUGUGUAGCGGUGAAAUGCGUAGCUAUAUGGACGAACACCAGUGGCGAAGGCGGCUCUCUGGUCUGUCACUGACGCUGCGGCUCGCAAGCGUGGGGAGCAAACAGG